AAAUUUGUGACGCCAUAAUAAAUAAUCCAACACUAUUUUACUAUACAGAUAUUUACAAAAUAUAGUGUUUUAUAUAUAUCUAUAUAUAUACUUACAAUUCUAGGAUAAGUAAAAGUAGUCUUGAUAAGUGUUAGACAUGUUGCGAAGAACCAGAAGAUACCAAACGCGCACCAUGUAGCCGUUCCAAGUAAAAGACUCAGCAUUGAAGGAUUAGAAUUGUAGAACCUAUAAACAAUAAAGAUUUUAACUA
Molecule: long non-coding RNA, 250 nt
Organism: Bombus impatiens (common eastern bumble bee)
Lineage: Eukaryota; Metazoa; Arthropoda; Insecta; Hymenoptera; Apidae
Exons: 2
Source: RefSeq, a predicted model, not a curated record